Molecule: ribosomal RNA, 388 nt
Filed under: Cytobacillus firmus
Lineage: Bacteria; Bacillati; Bacillota; Bacilli; Caryophanales; Bacillaceae
Description: bacterial SSU rRNA
Rfam family: Bacterial small subunit ribosomal RNA
Source: RNAcentral
UCUUAUAUGGAGAGUUUGAUCCUGGCUCAGGACGAACGCUGGCGGCGUGCCUAAUACAUGCAAGUCGAGCGGACGGAUGGGAGCUUGCUCCCAGACCGUCAGCGGCGGACGGGUGAGUAACACGUGGGCAACCUGCCUGUAAGACUGGGAUAACUCCGGGAAACCGGGGCUAAUACCGGAUAAUCCUUUUCCUCACAUGAGGAAAAGCUGAAAGAUGGCAUCUCGCUAUCACUUACAGAUGGGCCCGCGGCGCAUUAGCUAGUUGGUGAGGUAACGGCUCACCAAGGCCACGAUGCGUAGCCGACCUGAGAGGGUGAUCGGCCACACUGGGACUGAGACACGGCCCAGACUCCUACGGGAGGCAGCAGUAGGGAAUCUUCCGCAAUGG